CUCCGGUUGAUCCUGCCGGACCCGACUGCUAUCAGAGUGGGACUAAGCCAUGCGAGUCAACAUAGCAAUAUGUGGCAUACGGCUCAGUAACACGUAGUCAACAUGCCCAGGGGACGUGGAUAACCUCGGGAAACUGAGGAUAAACCGCGAUAAGUCACUACUUCUGGAAUGGGUAAUGACUCAAAUCUACAUGGCCCCUGGAUUGGACUGCGGCCGAUCAGGCUGUUGGUGAGGUAAUGGCCCACCAAACCUGUAACCGGUACGGGCUCUGAGAGGAGGAGCCCGGAGAUGGGCACUGAGACAAGGGCCCAGGCCCUAUGGGGCGCAGCAGGCGCGAAACCUCUGCAAUAGGCGAAAGCCUGACAGGGUUACUCUGAGUGAUUUCCGUUAAGGAGAUCUUUUGGCACCUCUAAAAAUGGUGCAGAAUAAGGGGUGGGCAAGUCUGGUGUCAGCCGCCGCGGUAAUACCAGCACCCCGAGUGGUCGGGACGUUUAUUGGGCCUAAAGCAUCCGUAGCCGGUUCUACAAGUCUUCCGUUAAAUCCACCUGCUUAACAGAUGGGCUGCGGAAGAUACUAUAGAGCUAGGAGGCGGGAGAGGCAAGCGGUACUCGAUGGGUAGGGGUAAAAUCCGUUGAUCCAUUGAAGACCACCAGUGGCGAAGGCGGCUUGCCAGAACGCGCUCGACGGUGAGGGAUGAAAGCUGGGGGAGCAAACCGGAUUAGAUACCCGGGUAGUCCCAGCUGUAAACGAUGCAGACUCGGUGAUGAGUUGGCUUCUUGCCAACUCAGUGCCGCAGGGAAGCCGUUAAGUUUGCCGCCUGGGGAGUACGGUCGCAAGACUGAAACUUAAAGGAAUUGGGCGGGGAGCA
This 868-nucleotide ribosomal RNA is filed under the name uncultured archaeon. Its description in RNAcentral is "bacterial SSU rRNA". It matches the Rfam family "Archaeal small subunit ribosomal RNA", at positions 1 to 878 of the family's 1478-position model. The record is from RNAcentral.